GCUUUCUGAAAAAGAAUUUUAGAUUCGUUUAUAAAUGGUAGCAGAAUGUUAUGAAAAGACUAAUUUCUGAAAUACACAGUUAUUCAUUUUUAGGGGUCUCCAGCAAUUAGUAGAUAAUAGAUAUGAUUUCCUAAUGCAAUAAUCCUAGGAAGUAUUACUGUAGGUUAUAGUAGCUGUUUUAUAAUUAAUGAUCUAAUUGAACAAAAAACCAACAAGAAAUACUUAGCUUCUUAUUUAUUAUCUAUUUGAAAAUAUGAAUAAGCACUAGAUUCUAUAAGGAUAAAUCAAUGAUUGCAUUUUUCUCUCAUUCUUAACACUGAUGUUAAUAAACAAAUCUAGUGGGUGGGUGUGGUGGUGGCUCACGCCUGUAAUCACAGCACUUUGGGAGGCCAGGGAGUGUGGAUCACUUGAGGUGAGGAGUUCGAGACCAGCCUGGCAAACAUGGUAAAACCCUGACUCUACCAAAAAAAUUUAAAAAUUAGCUAGAGGUGAUGAGCACCUGUAAUCUCAGCUACUCGGGAGGCUGAGGCCGGAGAAUUGCUUGAACACAGAAGGUAGAAUUUGCAGUGAGCCAAGACUGCGCCACUGCACUUCAGCCUGGGUGACAGAGUAAGACUCCAUCUCAAACAAAACAAAACAAAAAACAAAUCUAGUUAACUUGUUAAUUUAGCAGUUAUUCAUUGGCCUUUUGCUCCCAAUACUCCCAAUACCAAUACUGUGUUUGGUAUUUUCAGAUUAAAAGAACCUCAGUUUUGAAUCUUGUCCUCCAAAAAGACAAAUGCAAAACAUACUGUAUAACUGUAGUUCAAGAUAAAAAGUGAAAAAUGUUACCAAGUCUAAGAGACUACUUCUAGAUUUUGGUGAGGAAAGGGAAAGCUUUGAAAAGACAUGGAAAGCAUUUGAAAGCACUGAAAUGGUGUGAGCAACAUUCAGUCCAAGCUGGCGGUACAACAUCUGCAAUCAUGAGAGGGCUGGAAGGAGCACGGAUAUGUGAAAGGAACUGGUAAAAAAAUAAGACUGUGGAGUCACAUGUAAGUCAUAAUGCUGGCCAGGCCAAGGAUUUUAUACAUAAAAGUCACCAGAGCUUUUUGAGCAGGGGAGUGACAUGAUGAAGGCUAAACCGAAUGAUGAGUUGUCUGGCAGCAGUGUGCUAAAUGGAAUGGAAAGGGGAGAGAACAGAAGGAGAGAAGCCAAGUAGGACGUAAGAAGGGGCGAGGCUGAAGCAGUGUGGUAGUAAUGUAGAAGUGGAGUCAACUGAAAAACUUCUUACGGAGGCAGAGUCCAUAGGCAAAUGAUGAAAUCUUAUAGGUCAAGCUAUGGAAUCUUUCAGAUGAUAUUCUGAUACUUCUGGACAAAGUCAUUAUGAAAUUGUUUCUAAAUGCCUUUUGAUUUCUGGGUGAUCACUUUAUUACUAUUGUACAGCAUCAAACUUUUAUGAAUUGAUAGGAGAUAUUAAUAACUUCCAAGGAUAAAAGAAAUUAUCAUCAAUAAAAUGAUGCUUUGAAAAGAACUUGAAAAAUGAGGAAAUUCUAAUCAUAUGAAAAAAGUUUAAAAAAAAUAUAGUGUUUUUAAAGAGCAAUACUGGAAGAAGAAGAAUUUAAGAAGAUUUAACAUUCAGUACAUUUAAAAAACACAAUUAUUAUUCUAAAUAAAUAAGGAAAAAUCUCAACUACUUUGAGAGAUUCAAAGAUGGAAUCUUGCUUUGUCUCACCCAGGCUGGAAUGCAGUGGCACGAUCUCAGCUCACUGCAGCCUCCACCUCCCAGGUUCAAAUGAUUCUCCUGCCUCAGCCUCCUGAGUAGCUGGGAUUACAGGUAUGCACCACUAUGACUGGCUAAUUUCGUAUUUUGAGUAGAGACGGGGUUUACCAUGUUGGCCAAGCUGGUCUCAAACGCCAAACUUCAGGUAAUCCACCUGCCUCAGUCUCCCAAAGUGCUGGGAUUACAGGCGUGAGCCACUGCACCCAGCCUCAGUGAAAGGUUUUAAACUGCAAGGAAUUGUCAUCUAAUGGUAAUACCUGCAACUCUUCUUGCACUGCCCUGAAUUGAGGAAAAAUGAUAUCUCAAUGAAAAUAAGAUAGAAGGACACAUUCAAAUAAUCAAUGUUUUAUGUAACUUGAAGAGAAAAUUGUUCCAAGAAGUAUUUGUUAAUCUUAAAUUGAUGAUUAACAAUAUCUGAAACAAUCUGCUAUCAUGUUUGAUAAUCAUGGCAUCUGAAACAAUACUAUAUUGACAUUAAUUAAAAUGGAGACAAAGAACACCAAAGAGCAUAACGUAUAAAAAUCAGAAUAUUUUCUCUAAGAAAUAAUAAAAGAUUUGACAGGUUUUGAAUGCUUAUAAUGUGCCAAAAACUGUGGCAAGUCAUUCUUGUGUAUUAUUUCAACUAUUCCUAACAAUAAUUGUAUGAGGCUAGAUACUAUUAUUACCUCUAUCAUAAGGAAAUUUAAGAAAAUAAAAAACUUAAAUUUUAAUUUUAAUUAAUCAUAUAAAACAUUUAAUGAUUUAAUUAAUUAAAUUAUUUAAAUUUUAAUUACAAAAAAUUUAAGAAAAGUGAAGCUAUGACCUUGAAGUAAAAAUAUAUUUACAGAUAGCUUUAAUAUUAAUACAUUUCAUUAUAUAGAGCUGGGAUUUAAUUUUAGCAGCCUAAUUCCAAAUCACAUGCCCUUUAGCCUUUAUCAUCAUCAUCCAAGACACUGUCUUCAGAAGAAAAGGUGUGGUAUUUGUCUUAUAUAGAAAAGAACUUCUAAUGACAUGGAGCAACCUCUCCAAUGCCAGUUGCUGCGUUACUCCUUGCCUCUCUAUCCUAUUUGUGGGGUCCAAUGUUCUGGGAAUCAGUAACAUUGUAUACCCAGUCAAAGGUUCCAGCUACCAUGGCAUGUUUGUAGCAGUUUUUUUGGGACGUGGUCUUGCUGUGUGGCUCAGGUAGGAGUGCACUGGUUAGUUACAGAUGUGACUGUAGAGCACUGAAGCCUCAAACUCAAGGGAUUCUUCUGUCUCAGCCUCCUAAGUAGCUGGGAGUAUAGGUGUGUGCCAUCGUGCCUGGCUGAUGUUUACAAGUCCAGGCUGUGCUUCACCGGUGUGGCGUCUGAGCUCACUGAGCACACCUUGGGCUUUGGGAGGUUCCGACUGACCUAAAGCUUGGGUUGUUUAUGCAGUUCUCUGGGGAAUGAGCCUGGUUGUUGAUCUUUAAUGAAGGAUGCUACUUUGCUGAGGAAGAGUUUAAUCUAGUUAUAUCCCUGCAGGUAAAAUUAUGAAAAAGACACUGUGGCUAUGGACUAGCCUGUGACCUACUCUACUAAGCUCAAGUUCUCUGGCUCAUUCUAGAUAGUUAAAAGGGUUACACUUGGCAGAGUGAAAAUUACCAUGGUUUUGUUCCACCUGGUGUGACUGUAAUAUAUUUUUGAAUAAGAAAAUAUGAGUAAGAGUAUCAGACAGAAGACAACAGUUUUUUUUUUGUGAGGAAGAUACGUAAUUUUGAGAAUGGCAAGCUGGAUGAUAAUAGGAAUGAUAGAAGUUAAGUGAAGACUUUGAAAGAAAAAUAUAUUCACAGAUAGCUUUAAUAUUAAAUAUAUUUCAUUACAUAGGGACUCUAACCUACAAAUGAUUUGACCAGUGACACUUCCUCUUACUAAUUGGCCAUGUACAUUUUAAUGGUCUGUUUCUAAUUUUCUAGCUGCCUAAGAUAAUCAUAUUUUGUUAUACUGGCAUAGCUGUCUUGAGUCUUUCAACUAAAAGUGACAGAUAUUCCCUAAUCAAUGUGCUCUUUCCCCAUUAGGUGACUGAUAUGUGAUUCUUCUUCCUUGUAGCAGGAUGGGAUGGAAAAAGACUAUGUUCCAAGUAUUGAUAUGUUUGUUUUCUCAUACAGAAAUUAUCAGAGUAAUCAGUAUUGGUUGAAGCCUUUUUUGAUAAGUGAUAAAAUUAAUAAUUAAUAAAUACACUAUCACUUGCUUUCCUUUGCUGCUAGUCUACUUUAAUUGCAUUGCUAAUAGGGUUUCUCAUACAACUUUUUUUUUUUUAAACAGAGAUGGGGAUCUUACUCUGUCACCCAGGCUGGAGUACAGUGUACAGUGGUAUGAUCAUAGCUUAUUGCAGCCUUGAACUCCGGGGCUCAAAUGAUCCUCUUGCCUCAUCCUCCAGAGUAGCUGGGAAUAUAGGCACAUGACAUCUUAUCUGGCUAUUUUUAUUUUUAAAAAUUUUUAAGGGAAGGGGUCUCACUAUCUUGCCCAAGCUGGUUUCAAGCUCUGGGGCACAAGUGAUCCUCCUGCCUCAGCCUUCUGAGUAGCUGGGAUUAUAGGUGUGAGCCACAUCACCAGUCUGAUGUAUCUAUUAAAAUCUUCCCAGCUAUACAAUUAUCAUAGUCCCUUGUUUCCAAAUGCCAACUUGGGGUAAUAAUUUGUUUUAUUUAAUAUGAUGAGGCUCAUUAUAAAUGUCUAUCAAAUCAGAUGGUCUAGCCAGGAAAAUGUCUAGCAAUUACAUUGGUGUUUAUGGUCACUCUGAUAAUGCAAUUAUUUCCUUGAUAUGUUUAAAUAUGUACAAAAAAGAUGUUCCAUGUAUCAAACAACUGACAUGUAAACUUUUAGAAAAGUAUAUGUUAGAUGUUGCAUAUACACAUGGUAAUUCUAUAGACAUUAAUUAAAAAAUAUAAGGUGAUUUUAAUGACUUCUUAUUUAAAUAUUUGUUUUGAUCUGAGCACCCAAUGCCCUGAACAUUCUGGAUAACAGAAGAUAAUAGCUGUACUAGAAUAAUUUCCAGUAAUAUCCCAGGGACCACCUUUUAAAUACAGAUUAUCAACUAAGCUAGAAUAUUGGACAAAGAAAGGAAGUGAUGAAAUGUAUUACAGCAGUGAUGAUUUUUAACAUUUAAAUUAACUGCUGAAGUAUUUAACUAUUUAGAUAACUAAUUUCUAUAUAUAGAGUACAGUAAUUGCUAAGAGGCUAUUAUUGUUAACAGGAUAAACUUAAUUGUGCAAUACCAGAUUAUAAUUUGACCCUAGAAUUCAGAAAUAAAAACAAAAAAGGACAAAAUAGAUUUUGAAUAUAAAAAAAGCCAAAAGAUAUAACUGAGAGGAAUAAAAAUACUAACAUUUAAUUUUAAAAUUUGGAGAUGUUUUCGGCUAUAGUCACUUGACAUUUAAGAUACUUGUUAAAUCAUACAGCUUAUCCUCUUAUUUUUGUUUUAAAAUUUGUUGAUUUUAAUUAAAUGGAUGGUUACCCACACGGAAAAAAAGAACAAAGCAGCUGGUCUCUGCCUGAUGGUAAAAUCUUCUCCUGGCCUAUAGAGCUAAGGCACACCAUUUUACUUGGACUUUGGGAAAAUCUAGUUUUCAGUGUGAGUGGAUUUUGUGAUAAAAUUACAAAUGCAAGACCUAUGUUACUUUAGUGUCACUAUAUAAAUGCUCCUGGUUUUUAAACAGUCCUAAUUAAUGCUCAGUGUAAGGACAAGAAAUAAGCUGUCUUCACCGAAAGCCAUAAACCAUGAGAGAAAUGGUUAAUACUUUUUAAAAAUAUGUGGUGGUACAGGUGCUGUAGAAUGUGGCUCCAGAAAGAAAGAUCUUAAAUUAUCUUCAGUGAACAGUAUAUGGGGAAUUUGUGAGGCUCCAUGCUCAAAUCCUGAGUUCUUAGAUUUUGGAAGUUAGGAUCAUCACUGUUUAUGGAAAACUUCUUAAAACAAUGGUUGUCCUCUUUUCCUGAAAGUUGAGUUAUGAUUGUGAAUAAAGGAAUCCACUGUCUGACUGUUACUCCUUUGGCGUAUUUUGAAUUACAUCUGAACUCAGUUUAUAGAUAGCUGACAGGAUGAAGUGAUGAAACAUGUGGUAGACAGAAAGGAGUUUCAUUAAAAGAGCUGCUUAGGUGCUUCCAGUCUAGGUAAUUACUCAUUUUUAUGCUCUAUUCCUGGGGAAUACAGUAUAGUGGCUGGCACACAGUAGGCACUUAGUAGAUGUCUGCUGUACUAAACUGAAGGUUUAGGAGUAAAUAACAAAUUUGUGCAGUUGUGUAACUUUAGCUUUCCUUGAGGUCUUAUAAUAUGCCAUGUCAAUGAUUACUGUGGAAGACAUCCAUUUGGGCUUUGAAUAAUAACAUGAUAUCAGCUUAGGUAAUGGGGCUUGAACAAAUGUGCAGGGAACACAGGAGACUUGUAAAUAUGGUAUUAUGAAAAACACAUGGGAUUUGAAGGCCAAAGGUAUGUAGUUAACACUGCUUUGAUCUCUAGUAAACCCUUGACCCCCCUGAGCCUUAGUUUGUGUAUUCAUUCAUCUAAACAUUUAGUGAAUAUACACUGUAUGCCUUUUACACAGAUGAAAGAGAGACAAACCUUGACCUGGAGAUGCUUAAGGAUACCAAAAUGAAACUGUAAUGGAAUGUUUCCUCAUAUGUAGAAUCAGAGUAACAACACCAAACAAUAUCAUCUACUGCACAGAUUCGGUGAGGCAAUUACCACAUACUAGUACUUAACUUCCAAUGUAUUAUAAAAGUGCUUUGUAACUACAAAGCAGUACAGUGGUGCUAUCUCAGCUAACUGCAACCUCUGCCUCCUUCAAGUGAUGCUCCUGCCUCAGCCUCCCAAGCUGGGAUUACAAGUGUGUGCCACCACACUUGCCUAAUUUUUAUAUUUUUAGCAGAGACAGAGUUUUGCCAUGUUGGCCAAGCUGGUCUCAAACUCCCAACCUCAGUGAUCCACCUGCCUUGGCCUCCUAAAGUACUGGGAUUACAGACGUAAACCACCACAUCGGCCCCAUAAGCAGUUUUUAAUGAGAGUUCUUCUAAUUUCUUUUUUGGAAUAAAUGAAGAUGCUUGGAACCCUGGUUCAAGUUCUGUCAACCUACUUCCCAGUUAUAAAUUUAGAAUG
Molecule: non-coding RNA, 6844 nt
Organism: Callithrix jacchus (white-tufted-ear marmoset)
Lineage: Eukaryota; Metazoa; Chordata; Mammalia; Primates; Cebidae
Source: RefSeq, a predicted model, not a curated record